UCAAGCUACUAAGGGCAUACGGUGGAUGCCUUGGCGCCAUACGCCGAUGAAGGACGCGAUAAGCUGCGAAAAGCCACGGGGAACUGCAAAUAAGUAUCGAUCCGUGGAUGUCCGAAUGGGGAAACCCGGCAGCCGUAAUGGGCUGUCACCCUCGGAAGAGGGAGGGAACCCGGUGAACUGAAACAUCUAAGUAGCCGGAGGAAGAGAAAUCAAACGAGAUGCCCCCAGUAGCGGCGAGCGAAGCGGGCAGAGCCCAAACCGAAGGUCUUCGGGCCUUCGGGGUUGUGGACCGGCAGAAUCGAGCAAGUUGUUAGCCGAAUCCUCUGGAAAGAGGAGCGAGAGAGGGUAAUAGCCCCGUAGGCGAAAACGACGCGCGAGAGGCCGAGAUCCGGAGUACCACGGAGCACGAGGAAUUCUGUGGGAAGCAGGGGGGACCACCCUCCAAGGCUAAAGACGAAAUGGCGACCGAUAGCGCAUAGUACCAUGAGGGAAAGGUGAAAAGAACCCCGGGAGGGGAGUGAAAGAGAACCUGAAACCGUAUGUCUACAAGCAGUCGGAGCGAAAGCGACGGCGUGCCUAUUGAAGAAUGAGCCAACGAGUUACGUGUGCCGGCAAGGUUAAGCAGAAGAUGCGGAGCCGUAGGGAAACCGAGUCUGAAGAGGGCGAGGAGUCGGUAUAGGUAGACCCGAAACUGUAGUGAUCUACGCAUGGCCAGAUUGAAACGCAGGUAAAAAUGCGCGGAGGAUCGAACCGGGACAUGUUGAAAAAUGUUCGGAUGAGCUGUGCGUAGGGGUGAAAUUCCAAUCGAACGCAGAGAUAGCUGGUUCUCCUCGAAAUAGCUUUAGGGCUAGCCUCAGGCAGUAAGCAUAGGCGGUAGAGCACUGAUCGGGUACGGGGCCGUAAAGGUUACCAACCCCUGUCAAACUCCGAAUGGUUAUGCUGCAAAGCCUGGGAGUCAGACUACGAGUGAUAAGAUCCGUGGUCAAAAGGGAAACAGCCCAGACCAUCAGCUAAGGUCCCCAAUGCCGUACUAAGUGGAAAAGGAUGUGGGGCUUCAUAAACAACCAGGAUGUUGGCUCAGAAGCAGCCACCAUUUAAAGAGUGCGUAAUAGCUCACUGGUCGAGAGGCCCCGCGCCGAAGAUUCCCGGGGCUAAAGUACGGAACCGAAGCUAUGGAUGCGGUGUAAGCCGCGUGGUAGAGGAGCGUUCUCAUCGGGCAGAAGCAGGGCUGUAAGGCGUUGUGGACGGAUGAGAAGUGAGAAUGUUGGCAUGAGUAGCGAAAAGGACGGUGCGAAUCCGUCCCACCGAAAGCAUAAGGAUUCCUGAGCAACGAUCGUCGUCUCAGGGUAAGUCGGGACCUAAUCCGAGGCAAGAGGCGUAGGAGAUGGACAUCCGGUUGAGAAUCCGGAACCGGCAGAGGUUGUUUGAGCAAUGGAGUGACACAGGCAGGCAGGCGCGCACGGGAUUGGAAGUCCGUGUGCAAGCGUGUGGCGCGGGGGACAGGCAAAUCCGUUCCCCAGGAGCGUGAGGCGUGACGCGGAGCUUUCCGUGAGGAAAGCGAAGGGGCUGAGCCUAUACUGUCGAGAAAAGCUUCUAGUGAGACCGAUGCCGCCCGUACCGUAAACCGACACAGGUAUGUGGGGAGAGGAUCCUAAGGUGCGCGGGAGAACCCUCGUUAAGGAACUCGGCAAAAUGUACCCGUAACUUCGGGAUAAGGGUAGCCGCGUGUUGUGAAGUAUGUCCAUAUGGAGCAGAGCGCGGCCGCAGAGAAGAGGCCCAAGCGACUGUUUACCAAAAACUUAGGUGCCUGCCAAAGCGAAAGCUGACGUAUAGGUGCUGACACCUGCCCAGUGCCGGAAGGUUAAGGAAGGAGGUUCGGAGCAAUCCAACGCCUUCGACCGAAGCCCCGGUGAACGGCGGCCGUAACUAUAACGGUCCUAAGGUAGCGAAAUUCCUUGUCGGGUAAAUUCCGACCCGCACGAAAGGUGUAAUGAUCUGGGAACUGUCUCGGCCAUAGACUCGGUGAAAUCUUAAUACCUGUGAAAAUGCAGGUUACCCGCAACAGGACGGAAAGACCCCGUGGAGCUUUACUGUAGCUUGAUAUUGAGCUUCGGUAUGUUAUGUAGAGGAUAGGUGGGAGACGUUGAUACUAUGGCGCCAGCUAUAGAGUAGUCAUCCUUGGAAUACCACCCUUAACAUAUUGGAGUUCUAACCUAGACCCAUUAUCUGGGCCAGGGACAGUGUCUGGUGGGCAGUUUGACUGGGGCGGUCGCCUCCCAAAAAGUAACGGAGGCGCUCAAAGGUUCCCUCAGAAUGGUUGGAAAUCAUUCGAAGAGUGUAAUGGUAUAAGGGAGCUUAACUGCGAGACCAACAAGUCGAGCAGGUGCGAAAGCAGGACAUAGUGAUCAGGCGAUUCAGUAUGGAAUGGUCGUCGCUUAACGGAUAAAAGUUACCCCGGGGAUAACAGGCUGAUACCACCCAAUAGUUCACAUAGACGGUGGUGUUUGGCACCUCGAUGUCGGCUCGUCAUAUCCUGGAGGUGGAGUCGCUUC
Molecule: ribosomal RNA, 2552 nt
Filed under: human gut metagenome
Description: bacterial LSU rRNA
Rfam family: Bacterial large subunit ribosomal RNA
Source: RNAcentral